UACGGAAGGCAGCAGUGGGGAAUAUUGCACAAUGGGCGCAAGCCUGAUGCAGCCAUGCCGCGUGUAUGAAGAAGGCCUUCGGGUUGUAAAGUACUUUCAGUCGUGAGGAAGGUGUUAAGGUUAAUAACCUUAGCAAUUGACGUUAGCGACAGAAGAAGCACCGGCUAACUCCGUGCCAGCAGCCGCGGUAAUACGGAGGGUGCGAGCGUUAAUCGGAAUUACUGGGCGUAAAGGGCACGCAGGCGGUUAAUUAAGUUGGAUGUGAAAUCCCCGGGCUUAACCUGGGAAUGGCAUUCAAGACUGGUUAGCUAGAGUCUUGUAGAGGGGGGUAGAAUUCCAUGUGUAGCGGUGAAAUGCGUAGAGAUGUGGAGGAAUACCGGUGGCGAAGGCGGCCCCUGGGACAAAGACUGACGCUCAUGUGCGAAAGCGUGGGGAGCAAACAGGAUUAGAUACC
RNAcentral lists this ribosomal RNA (454 nucleotides) under uncultured bacterium. Its description in RNAcentral is "bacterial SSU rRNA". It matches the Rfam family "Bacterial small subunit ribosomal RNA", at positions 340 to 786 of the family's 1533-position model. The record is from RNAcentral.